GAAGAGUCCCAAAUAGGACGAAACGCGCGUC
RNAcentral lists this non-coding RNA (31 nucleotides) under Schistosoma haematobium. The record is from RNAcentral. Lineage: Eukaryota; Metazoa; Platyhelminthes; Trematoda; Strigeidida; Schistosomatidae.